GGAAUGCAGGUACACCUCUAGGACAACCGCGGCCGCCGCUUCGAGCAGGAGGUCGGCGUGAAGGAGGAGCGCGGCAAGCGGGAGUUUGGCAUCUUCUGUCCUCUGCCCCGUCGCACCACCGUGGUUGCGCCGCCAACGUCCAGACGACGGCCCUCUCCUGCCGCUAGAUGCCUCCGCUGAGACGACGCUGCCAGAGGCAACGACCAGCAGCCUCACCGGUGCCCUCGCGCGCGAGCGGACAGGCGCCGGAAGAAUUUGGUUCCAGCGCUGCUGCAGGUCGCGCUCGCGUUGCUGCUCUACAUCGGCCUCGGUCUCCCCGAGGCGUCGCCGCCGUUUCUGUUCAGACUGUAUGUGAAGUGCAGAGUACAUUGCUGAACUGAACCCCUAAAUUUCUGAAGAUUCUGAAGUUUUUGGUAAUUGCAUGUUCGUUCGGUGUGCGAGGAGGUGGUCUGACGAGCGGGAGACAAGUCACCUGGCCAACUGGGCAAGCACGGCAACACGGAGGAGCUCCCGAUGAUUCAUGUCAGAUGGGUGACGGUGCUCCAGGUCCAGGUAGCCAGAACACAAAGAAUCAGACCAAAAUACGUGAUACAAAUUAUUUGUUGUGGAAGGUGCUCGUUGUAAUACAGAAUGGGAACAAAAAUCGCCUGCAGUUUGCAGGAUGGGAAGCACACGACUGGAUAUAUACCUGAAGAAGCCAUUAGGGGACAAGAGAGGUUACUUCCUUGUGAUUUGGAGAAUUCACCUCUGCUUCUACCAACAACAGAUGGUAACAAUCAUGAUUGAUGCCAAACCUCAGCAGACAUGAUUCCAUGGUGGCAGUGGAUGCUGUCCCCUGUCUGGCCGAAACCGCUGCUGGCUUCGAUAAACACACCAUCAUCAGUUAUUCCAACAGUCUCAAUAAGAGAUUGCUUUGGGGGAUCCUUGGUGGGUAUAAAUACGGAGCUCAGUGGGUUGUCUGACAUCCCUUUAC
Molecule: long non-coding RNA, 973 nt
Organism: Triticum aestivum (bread wheat)
Lineage: Eukaryota; Viridiplantae; Streptophyta; Magnoliopsida; Poales; Poaceae
Exons: 4
Source: RefSeq, a predicted model, not a curated record